UACAGAGAGUGCGAGCGUUAAUCGGAAUUACUGGGCGUAAAGGGCACGUAGGUUGAUAUUUAAGUCGAAUGUGAAAGCCCUGGGCUUAACCUAGGAAUGGCAUUCGAUACUGGAUAUCUAGAGUAUGGUAGAGGAAAGUGGAAUUUCCGGUGUAGCGGUGAAAUGCGUAGAGAUCGGAAAGAACACCAGUGGCGAAGGCGGCUUUCUAGACCAAUACUGACACUGAGGUGCGAAAGCAUGGGGAGCAAAC
RNAcentral lists this ribosomal RNA (250 nucleotides) under uncultured bacterium. RNAcentral describes it as "partial 16S ribosomal RNA". It matches the Rfam family "Bacterial small subunit ribosomal RNA", at positions 524 to 773 of the family's 1533-position model. The record is from RNAcentral.